AUGGUUGUGUUGUACAUGUUAUGUAGGUGCUAUAACCAAAAAAUCUUUGCAAAUGGAUCUUGGAAUCUAGGUCUAACGAGUGAUACGCGGAAAGGUGUGGAGUAGCAUACUUUGAUAGCUUAGUAACCAUGCAAUCUGACACUACGUGACGACCCCCUUUGUGUUAGUUGCUUGUGAAGUUUAUGUGCGAUACUAUGUGCAUAGAGGCAUGCUACUUAGCUAAAUAAAAUAGUUCAUGGAAACUCGCGUAGUAUCUAG
This 258-nucleotide long non-coding RNA is filed under the name Helianthus annuus (common sunflower). RNAcentral describes it as "sRNA HanXRQr2_Chr15g0714891". The record is from RNAcentral. Lineage: Eukaryota; Viridiplantae; Streptophyta; Magnoliopsida; Asterales; Asteraceae.